CCCCCCACCCAUCCAUCUCUCUCUCCCUGGACACAUCUCUGCCGCCACAGAUGCCGGCCGAUUCCGGCGUUCUCUGGCGACUUCCGCCACCGCGCAACACCGGUCCGAGCUCGCCUCGCUCCGCUGGGUCUUUUCCCCCAACGGGACUCGCCGCUAUCGGCCACCAGCGAUGACAUUAGGCCCUUACCAUGGCUAGGGUUUCGGGCGCCUCCACACUGGCGUGGCUCCCGCGCCUCCAGCGGCUCCUCUCCGACGCCCACUGCGCCCUCACACGCAGCUCCCAUCUCUAGGAAGCUGCUCCUUCGCCUGGUGCCCAUGUGAUGUGCAGGGCAAGGAUUGGAUGCUUGAGGAAGGAGGGGUCGCCCUUGCCUUGCUGCAGCUCGGGGCGCACCACCCAUGGCGCUUCCUCCUUUCUGUCUUCAGAGCAGGGUAUCAUGUGCCCGCUCACCUAUUGGUGCGGCUGGUGGAUAUAGAGAGAUCAACGAUGAGGAGACCCUCGUCGUUCUUCUGAUUGCAGCCAGUUGCGUGAUGUGAUGGCGGAGUUGUUCUGCAACCGCCUAGGGGCCAUGGACGAUGGAGAACUUCCUAACGCAGUAUGCGAGCGGGGACGAUGGAGAACUUCCUGGCGCAGUGUGCACGCGAGUGGGUUUCAGGACAGUUCAUGAUACAAGGUCAAGCUCAGCUUGGUAAAAGUGGAGCAGCUGUGUGAAGAGGUUGCUUAAUUGAAGGGAAUCAUCGAGAAGAUGUUACUAUCUUUCAUGCAUAAAAAUAAUUUUGGAGGAUGCAUGGAUCAAAGAGAUUAUGGAUUACCACAAGCUUAUGUGUAUCCAUGGGAGUUAUCUGUGUAUUAGAAUAUGGAUACACAUGUAACUAUAGCUUCAU
This is a long non-coding RNA of Triticum dicoccoides, 882 nucleotides long. RefSeq lists it as uncharacterized. The record is from RefSeq and is a predicted model, not a curated record. The transcript is spliced from 4 exons. NCBI's taxonomy places the organism in Eukaryota, Viridiplantae, Streptophyta, Magnoliopsida, Poales, Poaceae.